This 235-nucleotide ribosomal RNA is filed under the name uncultured bacterium. RNAcentral's name for it is "partial 16S ribosomal RNA". It matches the Rfam family "Bacterial small subunit ribosomal RNA", at positions 102 to 334 of the family's 1533-position model. The record is from RNAcentral.
CCGACGGGUGAGUAACACGUAUCCAACCUGCCGUCUACUCUUGGACAGCCUUCUGAAAGGAAGAUUAAUACAAGAUGGCAUCAUGAGUCCGCAUGUUCACAUGAUUAAAGGUAUUCCGGUAGACGAUGGGGAUGCGUUCCAUUAGAUAGUAGGCGGGGUAACGGCCCACCUAGUCUUCGAUGGAUAGGGGUUCUGAGAGGAAGGUCCCCCACAUUGGAACUGAGACACGGUCCAA